AANAUGUUUGUGUGUGUGUGUGUGUGUGUGUAUAUAUGAAGUCAUAUGUUAUAUGGACAAUAUUUUUACUAAUAUUUUCCUUUCACUUGAUGGUUACACCACAACAUUUUUAGUGUCAUUACAAUAAAGCUUUUCUUAAAAAUAAAUACAAACAUAGAUACAGACAGUACAUUUCUUUUACCCUUGUUUUAAAUAAGAUUUUGUCUUUAUCAUGGAUGCUUCUAUAUAUCAUUGACUCAAGUGUGUGUUUGUAUGAAUGGUUAUCUUGCUGUUGAGAUGGAGGGGGUUGUGUUUCCUGUGCUGAGGCUGCUGGUUUCAGAUGCAGGUGGACAGGUGAUGAGAUGAUCUGGCCAUUUCACUGCUGAAUCAGUCCAUUACAGCAUCUGAACCGAAAGCUCCUUUGCCCUCGCUCCGCAGAACUCUUCCAACUGCCAACGCAGAUGCUGACAUGACUGUCUUUUCCCUUCAUUUUCAUUUUUUUCAUUUUCACUUAUUGCCUUCUCUUUCUCUUUCUCUUUAUCUUUCUCUUUCUCUUUCUCAAACAGAAAAUGAGUACCGGGGGAAACUCCUGAACCAGCGCUGGACGCGAGGAGACAAGAUCAGCCGCUGCCGGCCCUCUCUCAGACUGCAGAGCCGACCAAUCAAAAUGAGUUUGGAUACUGAUGACAAGCGCACUCGCACACGGUCCAAAGCAGGAAGAGUUCCCUCAGAGAUUGUUGGACAGGAGCUGAGGUGAGACAGAUUAGUUUUGUAAAGUUAAAUUUGCCAUUUUUUCCUUCUGCAGCAAUUUUUUUCUUUAUGUUUCAAAUCCAUGUUUGAGCAUGUUUUUUUUUUUGUUUUUUUUUUUUUACAUUAUUUGGUUCACAAUGCACGCCACUUUACAAACAAAACCAUUUUAAUGUUACUCAUUUUCAACAAUUCUUAUCAUCAACAAAAUUGCUGUCAGCAAAUGAAAUCUAAUAAAUGUGAGGAGUCCACAGCUUUUUCA
Cyprinus carpio (common carp) is the source of this 988-nucleotide long non-coding RNA. Lineage: Eukaryota; Metazoa; Chordata; Actinopteri; Cypriniformes; Cyprinidae. The record is from Ensembl.